Molecule: ribosomal RNA, 253 nt
Filed under: uncultured bacterium
Lineage: Bacteria
Description: partial 16S ribosomal RNA
Rfam family: Bacterial small subunit ribosomal RNA
Source: RNAcentral
UACGAAGGGGGCUAGCGUUGUUCGGAAUUACUGGGCGUAAAGGGCUCGUAGGUGGCCAACUAAGUCAGACGUGAAAUCCCUCGGCUUAACCGGGGAACUGCGUCUGAUACUGGAUGGCUAGAGAUUGGGAGAGGGAUGCGGAAUUCCAGGUGUAGCGGUGAAAUGCGUAGAUAUCUGGAGGAACACCGGUGGCGAAGGCGGGUCUCUGGGCCGAUACUGACGCUGAGGAGCGAAAGCGUGGGGAGCAAACAGG